Molecule: ribosomal RNA, 520 nt
Filed under: uncultured Glomus
Lineage: Eukaryota; Fungi; Glomeromycota; Glomeromycetes; Glomerales; Glomeraceae
Description: partial 18S ribosomal RNA
Source: RNAcentral
CGUAAGGCGCCGAAUGAGUCAUUAAAAAUUAACAUCAUCCGAUCCCCUAGUCGGCAUAGUUUAUGGUUAAGACUACGACGGUAUCUGAUCGUCUUCGAUCCCCUAACUUUCGUUCUUGAUUAAUGAAAACAUCCUUGGCAAAUGCUUUCGCAGUAGUUAGUCUUCAAUAAAUCCAAGAAUUUCACCUCUGACAAUUGAAUACUAAUGCCCCCAACUAUCCCUAUUAAUCAUUACGUCGAUCCCUAGAAACCAACAAAAUAGAAUCAAACGUCCUAUUUCAUUAUUCCAUGCUAAUGUAUUCAAGCGUGAGCCUGCUUUAAACACUCUAAUUUUUUCAAAGUAACAGUCCUGACUCCCCACGACACCAAAUUAAUGACAUCGAGGUUCUUCAGAAGGGAGAAACCAAUAAUACCAGUACGUACCGAGGCACGACCAACAAAUUGGUCCCGAAAUUCAACUACGAGCUUUUAACUGCAACAACUUAAUAUACGCUAUUGGAGCUGGAAUUACCGCGGCUGCU